UGAGGAGUUGCUUAUGCAAGCUCAUGAAACUACAACUGUUGUGGUUCCUGGACAAGGGGAGGCAUACAAGCAUUUUGGAAUGGUGGUUCUUGAUAUUGAUGCUGUGAAGGGCAAAAUCUUUCAAAAAACAGUUGUUUCAGAUCUUCCCAAUUGGUGAUGGAUCCACGAGGAAGACAAAACUACCAAUACCUUGCCGCUCCAUGUAACGAGUAUUCAAAUGCCCUUAAGAACAUGUCCUCAUCCGAGACAUCUGGAGGUUUCAUUGAAGAGCAUAUGGUGCAGAACUCCUCCAAAUGUCUAUAUGGGCAUUCACCUGCAAAACCAUGAAACCUAGGCAUCAAAUCUAUCAGUCCAGUGUUGAAAACACAACGAAUAUCCUCCUUAUCAAUUGGAAACGGCUCCCUAGGAGCACUCUCAUGAGAUGGAGGAGGAAUCGUUCUGUUCUCAACAUAGAAAUCAGCAGAGUAUAUAUGAGAAGCAAUAUCAGAGUAACAAGCAGGAGGAGAAUCAUAGACACAAGCAGAAUGAGAAUUACUCACAGCCAAAAUAGGUAGACAUGGGAAAGAAGGGGGGAAAGAAGCAUGUAAUGAAAAUAUGCAACUAAAGCUACCUAAAUGCAACAACACAUAACAUCACACAUAAAACAGAACGACACACUCACAACACAAGACAAAACAGAACACACACUAACACAACAAAGACCUAAAAUCGAACCGCUGGUCCCCGACAAUGGGGCCAAAAUUUGAUGGGCUGUCGCAACCCACACAAAUUUGAUUGCAUAAAAGAAUGCAGUAUAGUGCUAGGGAAUGACUCCUAGGUCGUUUCUCAAGGACCAAACUGUGGUUCGAGAACCAGGUCAAAUACAAAGUGGGGGGGUUUUGAAAAGUUUUGUUAAUGCAAUUAAACUAAAUUAAAGCAUGGAAAUUAAAUACAACCAAACAUAAUUCAAAAUAUUAAAAUAACUGAACAAAGUAUGAAGACCGAACGAUCCUACAGAUGACCGAAUGGUUCUACAUUGAGACUGGACGAUCUCUAGAGAAAGUAAGGAAAUUGGAAUUGCAGGAAAAUAAAGAAACCGAACAGAAUAAACAACAACAUAGUGCAUGGAAACAUUAAAAAUGAACGAUGCAAUAGAUAAAGAUCCAGACAUAACUAAAACGAUUAACAUGAAACACUAAUUUAAGAAGAUGAAAAACAAUGCAACAUAUAAAUUAAAAUAUUNUAAGCAAGAGAAAUAACAAAACACAAACUUUGUCUACCAUUCACGUGACUCAACAUCAAUUUCAAUUGAAAUAAAAUGGUCUCCAUGGCCCUUGGGUAUGACAGCUUGGCCGUGGGCCCCAUUCUUCCAAGAAAAGUUGCAACACCUUUUUCCAAUUAAAAUUCCCAAGCAAUGAAUAUCACCAUUCUUCAAUCACUGCAGCUUCAAGGCGUUCCUCCCAGCAUCAGCAUGCACUUUUCAACAUGGAAGUCGUGCCACAAUUUUUCCUCAAGUAAAUCAAGAAAAUGGAGGGACCGUGAGCCCUCCUUCCAGCCAUCACUUGUGUGCUUUUUAAACGUUCCAGCCCAUCGCACACCUAUGCAUCUUCAAAAGGAAUGAAACAGCUGCCUCAUCC
Molecule: long non-coding RNA, 1616 nt
Filed under: Vigna radiata
Lineage: Eukaryota; Viridiplantae; Streptophyta; Magnoliopsida; Fabales; Fabaceae
Description: long non-coding RNA (VRAD_LNC016747)
Source: RNAcentral